AGAGUUUGAUCCUGGCUCAGAACGAACGCUGGCGGCGUGCCUAACACAUGCAAGUCGAACGAGAAAGCUCCCUUCGGGGAGUUAGUAAAGUGGCGCAAGGGUGAGUAACACGUGAAUAAUCUACCCUCGAAACUGGGAUAACUUGGCGAAAGUCGAGCUAAUACCGGAUAAGACCACGCUUCUCAAGAAGCGCGGCCAAAGGGGUCUCAAUCCCCGUUUGAGGAUGAGUUCGCGGACCAUUAGCUUGUUGGUGAGAUAAGAGCUCACCAAGGCGACGAUGGUUAGCCGGCCUGAGAGGGUGAUCGGCCACACUGGAACUGAGACACGGUCCAGACUCCUACGGGAGGCAGCAGUGGGGAAUAUUGCGCAAUGGGCGAAAGCCUGACGCAGCAACGCCGCGUGAGGGAUGAAGGUCUUCGGAUUGUAAACCUCUGUCGAAUGGGAAGAAUUAUGACGGUACCAUUAGAGGAAGCCCC
This 476-nucleotide ribosomal RNA is filed under the name uncultured bacterium. RNAcentral describes it as "bacterial SSU rRNA". It matches the Rfam family "Bacterial small subunit ribosomal RNA", at positions 8 to 494 of the family's 1533-position model. The record is from RNAcentral.